Molecule: ribosomal RNA, 484 nt
Filed under: uncultured bacterium
Lineage: Bacteria
Description: partial 16S ribosomal RNA
Rfam family: Bacterial small subunit ribosomal RNA
Source: RNAcentral
AUUGAACGCUGGCGGCAGGCCUAACACAUGCAAGUCGAGCGGAUGAAGGGAGCUUGCUCCUGGAUUCAGCGGCGGACGGGUGAGUAAUGCCUAGGAAUCUGCCUGGUAGUGGGGGAUAACGUCCGGAAACGGGCGCUAAUACCGCAUACGUCCUGAGGGAGAAAGUGGGGGAUCUUCGGACCUCACGCUAUCAGAUGAGCCUAGGUCGGAUUAGCUAGUUGGUGGGGUAAAGGCCUACCAAGGCGACGAUCCGUAACUGGUCUGAGAGGAUGAUCAGUCACACUGGAACUGAGACACGGUCCAGACUCCUACGGGAGGCCGCAGUGGGGAAUAUUGGACAAUGGGCGAGAGCCUGAUCCAGCCAUGCCGCGUGUGUGAAGAAGGUCUUCGGAUUGUAAAGCACUUUAAGUUGGGAGGAAGGGCAGUAAGUUAAUACCUUGCUGUUUUGACGUUACCAACAGAAUAAGCACCGGCUAACUUCGUG